Molecule: non-coding RNA, 86 nt
Organism: Termitomyces sp. Mi166#008
Lineage: Eukaryota; Fungi; Basidiomycota; Agaricomycetes; Agaricales; Lyophyllaceae
Source: the annotation of a GenBank genome assembly
GGGUCGAUGGCGUAGUUGGGUCAUCGCAUCUGUCUAACACGCAUGUCCUUCACAGAAGGUCCUCAGUUCGAACCUGGGUCGACUCA